UAGGUGAGGUAACGGCUCACCUAGGCGACGAUCCCUAGCUGGUCUGAGAGGAUGACCAGCCACACUGGAACUGAGACACGGUCCAGACUCCUACGGGAGGCAGCAGUGGGGAAUAUUGCACAAUGGGCGCAAGCCUGAUGCAGCCAUGCCGCGUGUGUGAAGAAGGCCUUCGGGUUGUAAAGCACUUUCAGCGGGGAGGAAGGCGUUAAGGUUAAUAACCUUGGCGAUUGACGUUACCCGCAGAAGAAGCACCGGCUAACUCCGUGCCAGCAGCCGCGGUAAUACGGAGGGUGCAAGCGUUAAUCGGAAUUACUGGGCGUAAAGCGCACGCAGGCGGUCUGUCAAGUCGGAUGUGAAAUCCCCGGGCUCAACCUGGGAACUGCAUUCGAAACUGGCAGGCUAGAGUCUUGUAGAGGGGGGUAGAAUUCCAGGUGUAGCGGUGAAAUGCGUAGAGAUCUGGAGGAAUACCGGUGGCGAAGGCGGCCCCCUGGACAAAGACUGACGCUCAGGUGCGAAAGCGUGGGGAGCAAACAGGAUUAGAUACCCUGGUAGUCCACGCCGUAAACGAUGUCGAUUUGGAGGUUGUGCCCUUGAGGCGUGGCUUCCGGAGCUAACGCGUUAAAUCGACCGCCUGGGGAGUACGGCCGCAAGGUUAAAACUCAAAUGAAUUGACGGGGGCCCGCACAAGCGGUGGAGCAUGUGGUUUAAUUCGAUGCAACGCGAAGAACCUUACCUGGUCUUGACAUCCACAGAACUUUCCAGAGAUGGAUUGGUGCCUUCGGGAACUGUGAGACAGGUGCUGCAUGGCUGUCGUCAGCUCGUGUUGUGAAAUGUUGGGUUAAGUCCCGCAACGAGCGCAACCCUUAUCCUUUGUUGCCAGCGGUCCGGCCGGGAACUCAAAGGAGACUGCCAGUGAUAAACUGGAGGAAGGUGGGGAUGACGUCAAGUCAUCAUGGCCCUUACGACCAGGGCUACACACGUGCUACAAUGGCAUAUACAAAGAGAAGCGACCUCGCGAGAGCAAGCGGACCUCAUAAAGUAUGUCGUAGUCCGGAUUGGAGUCUGCAACUCGACUCCAUGAAGUCGGAAUCGCUAGUAAUCGUAGAUCAGAAUGCUACGGUGAAUACGUUCCCGGGCCUUGUACACACCGCCCGUCACACCAUGGGAGUGGGUUGCAAAAGAAGUAGGUAGCUUAACCUUCGGGAGGGCGCUUACCACUUUGUG
Molecule: ribosomal RNA, 1224 nt
Filed under: Klebsiella pneumoniae
Lineage: Bacteria; Pseudomonadati; Pseudomonadota; Gammaproteobacteria; Enterobacterales; Enterobacteriaceae
Description: bacterial SSU rRNA
Rfam family: Bacterial small subunit ribosomal RNA
Source: RNAcentral